Molecule: ribosomal RNA, 465 nt
Filed under: Vreelandella stevensii
Lineage: Bacteria; Pseudomonadati; Pseudomonadota; Gammaproteobacteria; Oceanospirillales; Halomonadaceae
Description: partial 16S ribosomal RNA
Rfam family: Bacterial small subunit ribosomal RNA
Source: RNAcentral
CCUACGGGAGGCAGCAGUGGGGAAUAUUGGACAAUGGGGGCAACCCUGAUCCAGCCAUGCCGCGUGUGUGAAGAAGGCCCUCGGGUUGUAAAGCACUUUCAGUGAGGAAGAACGCCUGGUGGUUAAUACCCAUCAGGAAAGACAUCACUCACAGAAGAAGCACCGGCUAACUCCGUGCCAGCAGCCGCGGUAAUACGGAGGGUGCGAGCGUUAAUCGGAAUUACUGGGCGUAAAGCGCGCGUAGGUGGCUUGAUAAGCCGGUUGUGAAAGCCCCGGGCUCAACCUGGGAACGGCAUCCGGAACUGUCAAGCUAGAGUGCAGGAGAGGAAGGUAGAAUUCCCGGUGUAGCGGUGAAAUGCGUAGAGAUCGGGAGGAAUACCAGUGGCGAAGGCGGCCUUCUGGACUGACACUGACACUAAGGUGCGAAAGCGUGGGUAGCAAACAGGAUUAGAUACCCGAGUAGUC